CUUGGACUGCAUUGGAUUGGAUGUUGGAUUAAUUUGAUUUGGUUCUCCCCUCUUUGAUGGUAAAUGGCUGCUCUUAGUUGAUCGUGAUCUUAAUUGGGUUGAUUUGUUGUCAGGGCUAAUUUGUAACAAGCUUAAAGCUUAGUAAGCUUUAGCUUGAGGGGUGAUGUUAGAAGUUUAUUUUAUUUGGUAGUUUAUUUUA
RNAcentral lists this long non-coding RNA (199 nucleotides) under Trifolium pratense (red clover). RNAcentral describes it as "long non-coding RNA (TPRA_LNC004064)". Lineage: Eukaryota; Viridiplantae; Streptophyta; Magnoliopsida; Fabales; Fabaceae. The record is from RNAcentral.